CCUGUCUCUGGGGAGACAACAUGGGAUGCGGAUAAAGGGCACAGAGAAGAGCGGCAAUGGAAGAAUUUGAUGUGCUCAAAGAGUAACUGCAAAGUAAGUUCGGUGGGGACAGAUGUUAUUGAUUAUAUUGCACAUCUUGAGAAUCAGGAAACUGGGGUAUAAUAGUAAGGCAUACUGAUAAGAUGCCCUCAUAAUACAAGAGUGUCAGUGGUGUGAACAUUCCACUUUUCAUUUAGUCCUUGGGCCAUUUCAAGAUCAUCACUAUUUAAAGCCAAAGUAAUAUCCCAUAAAUGUUAAAUUUCAACCCUUGAAGCAAGGUUUUAACAUAAAAUAGCAGAGUAGUGAAGACCAUGAAUGCAGUCCU
Molecule: long non-coding RNA, 364 nt
Filed under: Homo sapiens (human)
Lineage: Eukaryota; Metazoa; Chordata; Mammalia; Primates; Hominidae
Description: non-protein coding lnc-PLGLB1-3:1
Source: RNAcentral